UACGUAGGCAGCAAGCGUUGUUCGGAAUUACUGGGCGUAAAGAGUGUGUAGGCGGUGCUCUAAGUUCGGUGUGAAAUCUCCCGGCUUAACUGGGAGGGUGCGCCGGAAACUGGAGUGCUCGAGCGUGGGAGAGGAAAGCGGAAUUCCUGGUGUAGCGGUGAAAUGCGUAGAUAUCAGGAAGAACACCUAUGGCGAAGGCAGCUCUCUGGGACGGUACUGACGCUGAGACGCGAAAGCGUGGGGAGCGAACAGG
RNAcentral lists this ribosomal RNA (253 nucleotides) under uncultured bacterium. RNAcentral's name for it is "partial 16S ribosomal RNA". It matches the Rfam family "Bacterial small subunit ribosomal RNA", at positions 524 to 776 of the family's 1533-position model. The record is from RNAcentral.